Non-coding RNA from Hordeum vulgare subsp. vulgare (domesticated barley), 125 nucleotides. The record is from Rfam. NCBI's taxonomy places the organism in Eukaryota, Viridiplantae, Streptophyta, Magnoliopsida, Poales, Poaceae.
UAUGUACUCCCUCCGUCCGGAAAUACUUGUAUUAAAAAUGAAUGUAUCUAGACUUAUUUUUAUUAAUAGAUACAUCCAUUAUAUCCAUUUCUAGUACAAGUAUUUUCAGACGGAGGUAGUAUUUA